Long non-coding RNA from Gigantopelta aegis, 1072 nucleotides. RefSeq lists it as uncharacterized. The record is from RefSeq and is a predicted model, not a curated record. Lineage: Eukaryota; Metazoa; Mollusca; Gastropoda; Neomphalida; Peltospiridae. The transcript has 4 exons.
UGAUGCCGAAUCGGGCAAUCUCAUGGAAAUUAUUGUGUCCGAUGGAAAAAAAAUGUAGCAGAAGCCACACAUUUCCUAUCCCCUGAUCCGUCUGUGUAAACAGGGAUGUAAUCACGGUACCUUUCUUGGAUUUCCAUGAAAUGGGGUUAUUUAUAAAUAAAUAACUGCAUCUGUGCGAUCUUUCUUUAGAUGCACCAAAUCGAAUACACCAGGGUGGCAAAAUAAAAUAUGAGGUUUUCAGUGUAUCACGUAGUUCAUGAUUACCCUUGGGCUAUACGAUAACCAGUUGUCAACUAACCUAGGAAGGAGAAUGCGGCCCAUUAAGUUUGGACAUGUCUUAUCAGUUUCUAUCAGGAAUAUUUCUGUGAAAUACUUGCAGAUCAUUCUUUGAAAGAUUCUAUGUACCUCUGUGUCAAUAUUUGACUUCCAUUUGGCCAUGGGAGGUGAAGAAAUGUUUUUGAGGCGCGCUAUAAAGUGGCAGUCCUACUGGCGGAGUUGCAAUCGUUUACUGCCAUCAGGAUCAACUGUUCUUUGUAGUUAAAGCACCCAACAUUGACUGUCCUAAAGGAUUUCAACGAAAUCAAGAUUCCUGCUAUCUCUUCGCCGAUGAUAGUGUUGAAUCAUGGUUUGAAGCACGGAUUGCCUGUCAGACCAUGGGAGCCGAUCUCGUCGUUAUCGAUAGUCAAUCAGAAAAUAAUUUCAUAAGAUCCGUCGUAGAUGCUGGUAAUCAGAAUUUGGAGUAUUACGCCGGACUACACAAGCUGAACGACCAAAGGACGUGGAUGUGGAUUGAUCCUAACGCAGUGAUGGGUGUCCCGUCAGGACCUCCUAAUACACUAAAUCCUUUCUCAGACUGGGCCAAUGGUGAGGGUGCUGACACAGUUAGUCGACACUGUAUGGUCUUGGACUUUGUAGGCGCACAAAACACGUAUCAAUGGACGGAAGAAACUUGCCGUAGUAAUAAUCAGUACAUCUGUGAGCUUAGUCCGACCUUUCCGAAGCUGGCUUCCAGCAAGUGUUUCUAACUUUAAAAAAGUAUUUAUCCAUAGACGAUCGCUGUGGAUGCACGCUA